RNAcentral lists this ribosomal RNA (508 nucleotides) under uncultured bacterium. RNAcentral's name for it is "partial 16S ribosomal RNA". It matches the Rfam family "Bacterial small subunit ribosomal RNA", at positions 30 to 523 of the family's 1533-position model. The record is from RNAcentral.
AUUGAACGCUGGCGGCGUGCCUUACACAUGCAAGUCGAACGGCAGCGGGGGAGAAGCUUGCUUUUCCUGCUGGCGAGUGGCGAACGGGUGAGUAAUACAUCGGAACGUGCCCUGUAGUGGGGGAUAACUAGUCGAAAGAUUAGCUAAUACCGCAUACGACCUGAGGGUGAAAGUGGGGGACCGCAAGGCCUCAUGCUAUAGGAGCGGCCGAUGUCUGAUUGGCUAGUUGGGGGGGUAAAGGCCUACCAAGGCGACGAUCAGUAGCUGGUCUGAGAGGACGAUCAGCCACACUGGGACUGAGACACGGCCCAGACUCCUACGGGAGGCAGCAGUGGGGAAUUUUAGACAAUGGGCGAAAGCCUGAUCCAGCAAUGCCGCGUGUGUGAAGAAGGCCUUCGGGUUGUAAAGCACUUUUGUCCGGAAAGAAAUGGCUCUGGUUAAUACCUGGGGUCGAUGACGGUACCGGAAGAAUAAGGACCGGCUAACUACGUGCCAGCCGCCGCGGUAA